Molecule: ribosomal RNA, 421 nt
Filed under: uncultured bacterium
Lineage: Bacteria
Description: partial 16S ribosomal RNA
Rfam family: Bacterial small subunit ribosomal RNA
Source: RNAcentral
AAUAUUGGACAAUGGGGGCAACCCUGAUCCAGCCAUGCCGCGUGUGUGAAGAAGGUCUUCGGAUUGUAAAGCACUUUAAGAUGGGAGGAAGGGCUUUAGGUUAAUACACUGAAGUAUUGACGUUACCAACAGAAUAAGCACCGGCUAACUCUGUGCCAGCAGCCGCGGUAAUACAGAGGGUGAAAGCGUUAAUCGGAAUUAAUGGGCGUAAAGCGCGCGUAGGUGGUUCAGUAAAAUGGGUAUGAAAUCCCCGGGCUUAACCUGGGAACUGCUUUCAUAACUGCUGAGCUAAAGUACGGUAGAAGGUAGUGGAAUUUCCUGUGUAGCGGUGAAAUGCGUAGAUAUAGGAAGGAACACCAGUGGCGAAGGCGACUACCUGGACUGAUACUGACACUGAGGUGCGAAAGCGUGGGGAGCAAAC